AUGGCAGGUCGUUCUAUCGUGCCGGCUUUAUAAGCCGGUAAGGAAAGUCCGGACAACACAGAGCAUCCCGCCCCCGGAAUACGGGGGAUACCCUGCGGUAAACGCAAGGUAAUGGAUAGUGUCGCAGAAAAUAACCGUCUGCCGAAAGGCGGAUAAGGGUGAAAACGCGAGUUAAGAGCUCACGUUCCGGCAGGGCAACCUGCAGGAAGGAUAAACCCCGGGAGUUGCAAGACCAAAUAUGCCGUGGCUUGAGGGUGGCUCGCCCGAUCACGGUGGGUAGGUUGCAUCAGAUAAAUGAUAGGAUCCUAUUUUGCAGCAAUGCAGAAUAGCCAGACAGAAUCCGGCUUACAGACCUGCCAUUUUU
Molecule: RNase P RNA, 364 nt
Filed under: Bacteroidia bacterium
Lineage: Bacteria; Pseudomonadati; Bacteroidota; Bacteroidia
Description: RNase P RNA component class A
Rfam family: Bacterial RNase P class A
About the family: Ribonuclease P (RNase P) is a ubiquitous endoribonuclease, found in archaea, bacteria and eukarya as well as chloroplasts and mitochondria. Its best characterised activity is the generation of mature 5'-ends of tRNAs by cleaving the 5'-leader elements of precursor-tRNAs.
Source: RNAcentral